This is a long non-coding RNA of Scomber japonicus (chub mackerel), 141 nucleotides long. RefSeq lists it as uncharacterized. The transcript is spliced from 3 exons. NCBI's taxonomy places the organism in Eukaryota, Metazoa, Chordata, Actinopteri, Scombriformes, Scombridae. The record is from RefSeq and is a predicted model, not a curated record.
AAAGUGAAAACAAGAGGAACUGAAGAUAUUAAGGUUAAAAAGGAAAUGAUCUCCACACAGAAGAAACCUGCAGAAACUCCUGCAGAGGAGCAGAACCGAGCAGCGAGACUUGGUCUGAAAAAGGAGAAGAACAACCAUCAG